Molecule: ribosomal RNA, 395 nt
Filed under: uncultured bacterium
Lineage: Bacteria
Description: bacterial SSU rRNA
Rfam family: Bacterial small subunit ribosomal RNA
Source: RNAcentral
GACGAACGCUGGCGGCGUGCCUAACACAUGCAAGUCGAGCGAAUGAAGUUCCUUCGGGAAUGGAUUUAGCGGCGGACGGGUGAGUAACACGUGGGCAACCUGCCUCAUAGAGGGGAAUAGCCUCCCGAAAGGGAGAUUAAUACCGCAUAAGAUUGUAGUACCGCAUGAUACAGCAAUUAAAGGAGCAAUCCGCUAUGAGAUGGGCCCCGCGGCGCAUUAGCUAGUUGGUGAGGUAAUGGCUCACCAAGGCGACGAUGCGUAGCCGACCUGAGAGGGUGAUCGGCCACAUUGGGACUGAGACACGGCCCAGACUCCUACGGGAGGCAGCAGUGGGGAAUUUUGGACAAUGGGCGCAAGCCUGAUCCAGCCAUUCCGCGUGAGUGAAGAAGGCCUGG